Molecule: transfer-messenger RNA, 358 nt
Filed under: Opitutaceae
Lineage: Bacteria; Pseudomonadati; Verrucomicrobiota; Opitutia; Opitutales
Also listed under: 1 other name
Description: NORP342 sp016763045 Standard tmRNA
Rfam family: transfer-messenger RNA
About the family: Bacterial tmRNA, also known as 10Sa RNA or SsrA, is named for its dual tRNA and mRNA-like properties.
Source: RNAcentral
GGGGGUGUUUUGGAUUCGACCUCUGGUUAGAGUGUGUAGUGGCAUGUCGAGGAUGAUGGUUGGCCUCGCUAAAAUUCCAUCAAAACAAAAUUAAACGGCACAUUUGAAGAAAUGCCUCUAGCAGCUUAAAGAGCAGCUACGUUCCCUCACCAACGCCUGCUAGGCGAACGGAGCGACGACAGCAGGUAUAGUUAAAGAGGGUGCUCUUUCCUUUUUAACCGUACUUCAAGAGAGGGUAAGCCGGUGCUUAAGCGCGCGUUUUCGCGUAACACCAGCGAGAUUAAUGAUAACGCUAAACAUGUAGAGGCUACACGUGAAGAUCAGAGGGACGCGGGUUCGAUCCCCGCCACCUCCACCA